This is a non-coding RNA of Uncinocarpus reesii 1704, 94 nucleotides long. Lineage: Eukaryota; Fungi; Ascomycota; Eurotiomycetes; Onygenales; Onygenaceae. The record is from the annotation of a RefSeq genome assembly.
GGGCGAUUGGUUUAGGGGUAUAACGUCUGUUUCGCAUAAUUCCCGCAGUGGGCGUGAUUACAGAAGGUCGGGGUUUCGAUUACCCCAUCGUCCA